RNAcentral lists this long non-coding RNA (391 nucleotides) under Helianthus annuus (common sunflower). Its description in RNAcentral is "sRNA HanXRQr2_Chr12g0532111". Lineage: Eukaryota; Viridiplantae; Streptophyta; Magnoliopsida; Asterales; Asteraceae. The record is from RNAcentral.
CCCUACUCCUCCCUCAUAUCAUAUACGCACACAGACAUCAGCCCCUCCCACAUCUCCCAUCUCAGACACCGUUCCUCCUCAUCCUCCUCCUCCUCCUCCGACUCCGACUCCGACUCCGACCAGUUUUUCGGUGACCUCCUUCUUCUCCUUCGACCAGUUUUUUGUGCUUUUUUAUGCAGUUUUUGUUUUUUUUAUUAUGGAAACUAAUGAUGGUCGACAACAAUGGACGGAUGAGGCUGUUAAAUGCUUAUUAGAAACAUGUCUUGAAGAAAUAGGGAGGAUAGGUAGAAAUGGACAAAGCUUGUGCAGGGAGUCUUGGGUUAUAGUAGGGAAGAAACUCAAGGAACAAUUUCACAUGGAUUUGACUCAAAAGCAAAUUAGAAAUGCUUUU